RNAcentral lists this ribosomal RNA (1343 nucleotides) under uncultured bacterium. RNAcentral describes it as "16S ribosomal RNA". It matches the Rfam family "Bacterial small subunit ribosomal RNA", at positions 28 to 1378 of the family's 1533-position model. The record is from RNAcentral.
GACGAACGCUGGCGGCGUGCUUAACACAUGCAAGUCGAACGGAAAGGCCCUGCUUUUGUGGGGUGCUCGAGUGGCGAACGGGUGAGUAACACGUGAGUAACCUGCCCUUGACUUUGGGAUAACUUCAGGAAACUGGGGCUAAUACCGGAUAGGAGCUCCUGCUGCAUGGUGGGGGUUGGAAAGUUUCGGCGGUUGGGGAUGGACUCGCGGCUUAUCAGCUUGUUGGUGGGGUAGUGGCUUACCAAGGCUUUGACGGGUAGCCGGCCUGAGAGGGUGACCGGCCACAUUGGGACUGAGAUACGGCCCAGACUCCUACGGGAGGCAGCAGUGGGGAAUAUUGCACAAUGGGCGGAAGCCUGAUGCAGCAACGCCGCGUGCGGGAUGACGGCCUUCGGGUUGUAAACCGCUUUCGCCCGUGACGAAGCGUGAGUGACGGUAAUGGGUAAAGAAGCACCGGCUAACUACGUGCCAGCAGCCGCGGUGAUACGUAGGGUGCGAGCGUUGUCCGGAUUUAUUGGGCGUAAAGGGCUCGUAGGUGGUUGAUCGCGUCGGAAGUGUAAUCUUGGGGCUUAACCCUGAGCGUGCUUUCGAUACGGGUUGACUUGAGGAAGGUAGGGGAGGAUGGAAUUCCUGGUGGAGCGGUGGAAUGCGCAGAUAUCAGGAGGAACACCAGUGGCGAAGGCGGUUCUCUGGGCCUUUCCUGACGCUGAGGAGCGAAAGCGUGGGGAGCGAACAGGCUUAGAUACCCUGGUAGUCCACGCUGUAAACGGUGGGUACUAGGUGUGGGGUCCAUUCCACGGGUUCCGUGCCGUAGCUAACGCUUUAAGUACCCCGCCUGGGGAGUACGGCCGCAAGGCUAAAACUCAAAGGAAUUGACGGGGCCCCGCACAAGCGGCGGAGCAUGCGGAUUAAUUCGAUGCAACGCGUAGAACCUUACCUGGGUUUGACAUGGAUCGGGAGUGCUCAGAGAUGGGUGUGCCUCUUUUGGGGUCGGUUCACAGGUGGUGCAUGGCUGUCGUCAGCUCGUGUCGUGAGAUGUUGGGUUAAGUCCCGCAACGAGCGCAACCCUUGUUCACUGUUGCCAGCACGUUAUGGUGGGGACUCAGUGGAGACCGCCGGGGUCAACUCGGAGGAAGGUGGGGAUGACGUCAAGUCAUCAUGCCCCUUAUGUCCAGGGCUUCACGCAUGCUACAAUGGCUGGUACAGAGAGUGGCGAGCCUGUGAGGGUGAGCGAAUCUCGGAAAGCCGGUCUCAGUUCGGAUCGGGGUCUGCAACUCGACCUCAUGAAGUCGGAGUCGCUAGUAAUCGCAGAUCAGCAACGCUGCGGUGAAUACGUUCCCGGG